Molecule: ribosomal RNA, 444 nt
Filed under: Oreaster clavatus
Lineage: Eukaryota; Metazoa; Echinodermata; Asteroidea; Valvatida; Oreasteridae
Description: partial 16S ribosomal RNA
Rfam family: Bacterial large subunit ribosomal RNA
Source: RNAcentral
ACUCCUAGGGGGUCAAUAGGUUUACUAAGUGAUGAGCUACGUAKUGCGUGAGUUGUUUUGGUGGGGGCAACCGCGGAGUAGAGAUAUCCUCCGCUGAGGCGACAGUCAAGGUUGAAGUCCUUACUGUGCAGGCACCGUUUUUUCGUGAUCCGCCGAGUGGGCGAGCAAAAGAACAAGUUACCGCAGGGAUAACAGCGUAAUUUCCUCGGAGAGUUCAUAUUGAUAAGGAAGUUUGCGACCUCGAUGUUUGGAUCGGGAUUUCCUAGGGGUGCAGCAGCUCCUGAGGGUUGGUCUGUUCGACCAUUAAAAUCCUACGUGAUCUGAGUUCAGACCGGCGGGAGCCAGGUCAGUUUUCUAUCUGCGACUUAUAAGAAAUGGGCCGUCUUUAGUACGAAAGGAUUAAGAAUGGCGGCACCUAUGUCUUAUGAUAAGUGCCUAAGAUUG